CCUACGGGAGGCAGCAGUGGGGAAUUUUGGACAAUGGGCGCAAGCCUGAUCCAGCAAUGCCGCGUGAGUGAAGAAGGCCUUCGGGUUGUAAAGCUCUUUUGUCAGGGAAGAAACGGUGGUUCCUAAUACGGACUACUAAUGACGGUACCUGAAGAAUAAGCACCGGCUAACUACGUGCCAGCAGCCGCGGUAAUACGUAGGGUGCAAGCGUUAAUCGGAAUUACUGGGCGUAAAGCGUGCGCAGGCGGUUAUAUAAGUCAGAUGUGAAAUCCCCGGGCUCAACCUGGGAACUGCAUUUGAGACUGUAUGGCUAGAGUGUGUCAGAGGGGGGUAGAAUUCCACGUGUAGCAGUGAAAUGCGUAGAUAUGUGGAGGAAUACCGAUGGCGAAGGCAGCCCCCUGGGAUAACACUGACGCUCAUGCACGAAAGCGUGGGGAGCAAACAGGAUUAGAUACCCUGGUAGUCCACGCCCUAAACGAUGUCUACUAGUUGUUGGGUCUUAAUUGACUUAGUAACGCAGCUAACGCGUGAAGUAGACCGCCUGGGGAGUACGGUGCAAGAUUAAAACGUUAAGGAAAUUGACGG
This 585-nucleotide ribosomal RNA is filed under the name uncultured bacterium. RNAcentral's name for it is "bacterial SSU rRNA". It matches the Rfam family "Bacterial small subunit ribosomal RNA", at positions 338 to 916 of the family's 1533-position model. The record is from RNAcentral.